GACGAACGUUGGCGGCGUGCUUAACACAUGCAAGUCGAGCGAUGAAGUUUCUUCGGAAAUGGAUUAGCGGCGAACGGGUGAGGAACACGUGAAGAAUCUGCCUCCACUUUGGGAUAACACCGGGAAACCGGUGCUAAUACCGAAUAUUGAAACAUAAGUGGCAUCACUGAGUUUUGAAAGAAUUUCGGUGGAGGAUGACUUCGCGGCCUAUCAGCUAGUUGGUGAGGUAAUGGCUCACCAAGGCAACGACGGGUAGCCGGCCUGAGAGGGCGACCGGCCACACUGGGACUGAGACACGGCCCAGACUCCUACGGGAGGCAGCAGUGGGGAAUAUUGGGCAAUGGAGGAAACUCUGACCCAGCGACGCCGCGUGCGGGAUGAAGGCCUUCGGGUUGUAAACCGCUUUCAGUAGGGAAGAAGCGAAAGUGACGGUACCUACAAAAGAAGCACCGGCUAACUAUGUGCC
This 466-nucleotide ribosomal RNA is filed under the name uncultured actinomycete. RNAcentral describes it as "bacterial SSU rRNA". It matches the Rfam family "Bacterial small subunit ribosomal RNA", at positions 28 to 509 of the family's 1533-position model. The record is from RNAcentral. Lineage: Bacteria; Bacillati; Actinomycetota; Actinomycetes; Actinomycetales.